This 374-nucleotide unclassified non-coding RNA is filed under the name fungal sp. RNAcentral's name for it is "partial internal transcribed spacer region". The stretch from base 1 to 46 matches the Rfam family "Eukaryotic small subunit ribosomal RNA", at positions 1786 to 1831 of the family's 1831-position model. The record is from RNAcentral. Lineage: Eukaryota; Fungi.
AAGUCGUAACAAGGUUUCCGUAGGUGAACCUGCGGAAGGAUCAUUAUCACGUAUCCAAACGUAUCAACCAUUGUGAACUGUACUUGACCUAUAGAAUGAAAAGAGGUAGUGUUAAUUUUAACAUUUAUGAAUAACGUUUUAUUGUUGAUUUGAGUUAUUCGUUAUUAUUAACCAAUGGUAGAAAUACUAUACUCUUUUCUCUGUAGUGUAUUUUUCAAAUCACUUUAAUCAUUAACAAUUUAAAUUUAAAAACAAAUUAUCAUUUUGAACUGAUUUAAUUUCUUUUCUCUUUUUUUUUUAAAUUAAAAAAAAAGAGACUGAAAUAAUAUUACGAAACAUAAGAACAACUCUUAGCAACGGAUAUCUUGGUUCUC